CGGGAAAAGAAACAUUUCCGGGCGCUGGAGGAGCACUGACAAAAAAAGAAAUCGGACGCAAAAGAAACCUCCCCAGAAUUUGGGCCACUGUGGGAGUCGUGCGAGACGGACUUCCCAUCUGGGAAGGGCUGCCUACGGACACCAAAAUUGGACAUGUGUAGAUGUAAACGGGCUGGAGAAUCGAGGGAUGCAAACUCAGACAAUGGUUUGCUGUAUCUUUCCUCACUCCAAUCCCAAAGGGACAUCGGCUUGUCUACUGUAAGCGGGCUGGCAACCAGAGGCCCUCCAGCCUGGAGCAGCCAGGAGACUACUAACAGAACCAGAGGAAAUGAAGGCCAGAGAACCCCGGGAAGUCCAAAUGGGUCGAAGGAGAAGCUCCAGAAAUGGAUGGAAUUACGUUUUUUCACACUAAACUGAUUGUUGCCCUGCUGUGGUCCUGGAGAAGUCUCACUUUCCUCCUGGUGUCACACAUUUGUAAGAUGGGGCUGUGAGAGGAUUGGCCCACUGUGGGUCUCCCA
This is a long non-coding RNA of Acomys russatus (golden spiny mouse), 518 nucleotides long. RefSeq lists it as uncharacterized. Lineage: Eukaryota; Metazoa; Chordata; Mammalia; Rodentia; Muridae. The record is from RefSeq and is a predicted model, not a curated record. The transcript has 3 exons.